AUGCUCCGGAUCGCCUCUCGCUCGGGUUUGCUUGGUAGCAGCAGAUGCUACAGCGCCGCCGCGAAGGGCGGCCUCUCAAUCAGUGGCGUCAGUGACAUCAUUGCCGUCGCCUCGGGGAAAGGCGGCGUCGGCAAGUCCACCACUGCAGUUAACAUCGCUGUAGCACUUGCGAAGGAGUUUAAGCUUAAGGUUGGUUUGCUAGAUGCUGACAUAUAUGGACCAUCCAUUCCCACAAUGAUGCAUCUGCAUGAAAAGCCUGAAGUAAGUGAAGACAUGAAGAUGAUUCCAGUUGAGAACCAUGGAGUGCGAUGUAUGUCCAUCGGGUUUCUUGUAGACAAAGAUGCACCAAUCGUUUGGAGAGGUCCUAUGGUAAUGAGUGCUCUUGAGAAGAUGACAAGGGGAGUAGCCUGGGGUAAUCUGGAUGUUCUUGUUGUUGAUAUGCCCCCCGGCACUGGUGAUGCUCAACUAUCAAUGUCCCAAAGGCUUCGGUUAUCUGGUGCUUUAAUUGUUUCUACUCCUCAAGACAUUGCUCUAAUUGAUGCUAGAAGAGGAGCAAACAUGUUUCGUAAAGUCCAAGUUCCUAUUAUAGGCUUAGUAGAGAACAUGAGUUGCUUCAAGUGCCCAAAGUGUGGUGAGAAGUCUUACAUUUUUGGGGAAGGUGGAGCUCAGAGAACUGCGGAAGACAUGGAUAUGAAGUUUCUGGGCGAGAUACCUCUUGAAAUUGACAUCCGAACUGGUUCGGACGAAGGCAAGCCAAUUGUGAUAUCGUCACCGAACUCUGCAUCGGCGCAAGCCUACCUGCGUGUUGCUGAAAAGGUGACUCAGAGGCUCAAGGAGUUAGCCGAGGAGCGACUGAUGGGCCCAGAUAUUUCGCUUUGA
This 879-nucleotide ribosomal RNA is filed under the name Triticum aestivum (bread wheat). RNAcentral's name for it is "partial small subunit ribosomal RNA". Lineage: Eukaryota; Viridiplantae; Streptophyta; Magnoliopsida; Poales; Poaceae. The record is from RNAcentral.